UACAGAGGUGGCAAGCGUUGUUCGGAAUUACUGGGCGUAAAGGGCGCGUAGGCGGCCCUAUAAGUCUCGUGUGAAAGCCCUCGGCUUAACUGAGGAUCUGCACGGGAUACUGUAGGGCUCGAGUUCGGGAGAGGAAAGCGGAAUUCCGGGUGUAGCGGUGAAAUGCGUAGAUAUCCGGAGGAACACCAGUGGCGAAGGCGGCUCUCUGGUCCGAUACUGACGCUGAGGUGCGAAAGCGUGGGGAGCAAACAGGAUUAGAAACCCUGGUAGU
Molecule: ribosomal RNA, 271 nt
Filed under: uncultured bacterium
Lineage: Bacteria
Description: partial 16S ribosomal RNA
Rfam family: Bacterial small subunit ribosomal RNA
Source: RNAcentral